Molecule: long non-coding RNA, 718 nt
Organism: Tripterygium wilfordii
Lineage: Eukaryota; Viridiplantae; Streptophyta; Magnoliopsida; Celastrales; Celastraceae
Exons: 3
Source: RefSeq, a predicted model, not a curated record
UUAGCAUCUAAUAUGAACUAAACUGUACGAUCAAGUCCUGCGCACAAGAAUUUCUCACAAUGUUACUACAAGCUAUUGCUCUCUGUGAGAUUAUUCCUCUUUUCCUUUGCAUUCACUGAUUUCCUUCUUGUCAUUAGCCGUACUGUUCAGAUGCCCUUCGAGAAUGGACUGAAAGUCUCUGUACACAAGAUGUUCGUCUUUAUUACUGACAGAAUCUAUCCUUCUCUUCCUUGAUUUAUUAUAAUGUCUUCCUUGAAGAUCAGUCUCGAGGGUUCUUGGUUUCUUGGAAAAUAUAAGGUUCUUGGUUCUGGGUCAUUCUCUUCCCCAUCCAAGUUUGGUCGAAAGAGUCUCUUUCCUGAACUAGAGGGUUGAGAUUGUAAAUCCCGAAUUUCCUUCAUUGAUGGAGUAAAACAAGAUUCUACUGCUACUGAGAAGUUCUUCUUUGUUUCUUGGGGGUGCUAGAUUAACAAAUACAGAUUGAAGGCAAGACAAGUAUAUAUAGACAUAUAUGAGAGAGCGAUAGAUAGAAGUUUUGCGCAGGAGGCAAUUUUUCCACGCAAUCACUUAGUAACAGAGGAAGCUUUGAAGUGUGUAAAAGCACGGAUGCUGAACUUUCAAUGGCAUCUGAGGCUGUUGGCGUGCAUCCACCAAUUUGAAAUGUUACGGGGAUGGGUCAAGAUUCCAUUGAAAGGUAAAUGUUGCAGUUGCAGAUAUUGAC